GAUUCCGCGCUCUUGAGCUUCCGUCUCCCGAAAGUUGGUCAUCCCACACUAACUUCCCUCUCUCUCUCGAUUUCUCUACUUACACUAGCUUCCAUCUGCUAUCAUGCCAAUAUUUUCCAAAAUGGCGUUCGAUUCUUUAUCCGAUUCUUCUUAUUGUUGGUUUGUGAACCCAUCGAUUUCGAUUUUUACUUUUUUUUACUAAGGAUAUGAAGCAUGCAGUUUGUUGAGUAGUUUGAAAAUGGUGAGGUUUGAUGGAGAGGGCCGCAAAUCAAAGGAUUCAAAUUAAGGAGGUGGGCGUCUGGUAAGGGGUUGUUCGGGUUGCUGGUGAUCGGUUAAACUUGUUGGCCGCUCAAGACUUUCAAGAUGAUGACAUCAUCCAUCAUUAAGUUUGAUGAAGUUGAGAUAUAUCAGUGUGUGGAGAAGAAGGAACAGCAGCACAGGCAGCAUAAAACAAGGAGUAGCUUUCUUAUCGAUAAAAGGUCGCCAAUAAGAAUUAGCCUACGCUUCUCGUCUCAUGUACGCGUGGAAUGAUGGCCGCUGCCUGCCUUGUUCCAAAAAGCUCAGUAGACCAAUCUUCCCCCUCUCUCCUCACCGCCUCGCAGCUGGCCGCUGCCCAUUCUUCCACCCUCAGCUUCGGAAGGCAGUGGUGUGAGCUCCUUGUGGCGGCUACCACCAGCUGCUGACCCAGUGGUCUGGGGAUUCUGUAUGCGUUGGGCAGCUUCCCUACUACUGCUAUCCAUAACUUAAAUUGCAGCCCAGACUCGCGCCGUAUUGUAUAUUUUCAGGUACCGUCUCCUCUGCAAAGCAAGAUAGCCAAAGGGAAACUGACGCAAACACAAGAGGGACACUACUUGCUGCACCUUUCGCCAUUAUGGAUCUCAUUCUGCUAGAUUGACACCAGCAGCCUGCUGCAAAAGGAAUUAAGAUGAGGAAUUUUUGUUCUAGCCAUAAUCACCACUCUUGAAUAUGUGUGUUUGUAGGUCAUGCUCCCCCUUGUUCCUGCAGUUUUUUAUGUAGCAAAUCUAAAAUAUAGUUUCUGGAGACGCGAUGGAAAGAAAUAUCUCUUUGCUUAGAUAACCAAUUUAUACCCAAAAGAAAACGUGACCUUUUCAAAUUUAUGUCA
Long non-coding RNA from Nymphaea colorata (pocket water lily), 1123 nucleotides. RefSeq lists it as uncharacterized. The transcript has 2 exons. The record is from RefSeq and is a predicted model, not a curated record. Lineage: Eukaryota; Viridiplantae; Streptophyta; Magnoliopsida; Nymphaeales; Nymphaeaceae.